Molecule: ribosomal RNA, 253 nt
Filed under: uncultured bacterium
Lineage: Bacteria
Description: partial 16S ribosomal RNA
Rfam family: Bacterial small subunit ribosomal RNA
Source: RNAcentral
UACGGAGGGAGCUAGCGUUGUUCGGAAUUACUGGGCGUAAAGCGCACGUAGGCGGCGACUCAAGUCAGAGGUGAAAGCCCGGGGCUCAACCCCGGAACUGCCUUUGAAACUAGGUUGCUGGAAUCUUGGAGAGGCGAGUGGAAUUCCGAGUGUAGAGGUGAAAUUCGUAGAUAUUCGGAAGAACACCAGUGGCGAAGGCGACUCGCUGGACAAGUAUUGACGCUGAGGUGCGAAAGCGUGGGGAGCAAACAGG